RNA transcript from Daphnia magna, 1349 nucleotides. RefSeq lists it as uncharacterized. The transcript has 5 exons. Lineage: Eukaryota; Metazoa; Arthropoda; Branchiopoda; Diplostraca; Daphniidae. The record is from RefSeq and is a predicted model, not a curated record.
AAUUCUGCAGCAUUUUCUAUUUCUUAAAUUUAAAUAACAAAAUGCUUACCAUUAUUUGGCUGAAGACGUCAAACGUUAGUCCCAACCCCCAUUUUCUUUCUAUCUUCCCAUCCUUACGAGGUGGCAUUUUUGAACGCCAGACGGCGAAGUCUUCGCCUCCUUUUUUCUUCUGAUUGGCUCUUGACUGGGGAAAGGAUAGGGAAUUUUGCAAAUCCUCUCGCCGUCAUAGGGGAACAUUCAAGUUUACAGGCCUUAACCAUUAAGUAGGCCUUGGGUGAGCAUGCUCAGCCAGCCUGCUCAAACGUCAAUGCGCUGCCACCCUGCGCAUAUUUUGUUCCCAAUUCCGAGCGUUCCUGCGGCAAAAGAUCGCAACUCACUCAAAACAAAAGCUGGUGUUCAAUACUGGUUUAACAUUUCAACAUUUAGGAAGCUUUUACAUUUUUAAAAGUUGUGGACAAUAUGGAAGCAGAGAGCUCAGAGAUGGGACAGGUAGACACCGAAGAGGUAGACUUAGGAAUCCAAAUUACAAAGGGAAUGCGAAGCAAGUUCCAAUAGAUCUGCCAUCAUCCUGUCAAGAGAUCUUGCAAUCGGGCUUUCAGAAUAUAGUCGUGGAAGAAUUGGAACCCCCAAUUGUUGACCUAAAUGAACUGGUUCAGGCUACCAGCAACUCAUGUACAUCACCAUCAAAUUUGGGUGAACUUGAGGUUUAUUAAAAGAACAAAAUUUAAAGUUGUAAUUAUUUCCAUCUCAAUUUCCUCGAUAUAGUCAAUUCCAUUUCAACCGCCAUCUGUAGAACAACCCUGCAAAUCCUUCUUAAAAGGAAGGGAAAUUUUUGUAUUUGUAUUCUUAGCUUGUUAAGAAUAUGUCAACAUUAAUGCAUUACAACAGGCAUCCAACCAAGGAUUCAAGACGUCGAGUGUCAUGAUUUCGAAUGAGAUAGGCCUACGUGUUGAUACUCCAAUCAGCGACAACGAUGUGCCACAAACCUAUACACCGUUGAGGAAGCGAAGACUCGUAGCAAACAAGAACAUUAAAAUGGUUCCAAAGAAAAAGACAGCAAAAGCAAAAGAUACAAAUGAAGAGGAUGAAACGUGCUCAGCCACUAUAUGCAAAAUACUGCACGGGAUUUGAGUGGCGAUUGAACCAAGUGUGACGGGCCUUGCAAGAGAUGGUUCCACAAUCGUUGCGCAGGGAUAAAAAGAAUCCUGAAGAAAACCGAAAAGUGGGACUGCAUCAAGUGCGUCAAUCAGUCCAAUCGCCCCCGUCGCAAUUUUAUUAAAUAAUUAUUUUGUUGUAGCGUGUAAUUAACAAUUUCAACUCAAAUCAUUACACAACUGUUACCAAUGUAA